Molecule: ribosomal RNA, 440 nt
Filed under: uncultured bacterium
Lineage: Bacteria
Description: partial 16S ribosomal RNA
Rfam family: Bacterial small subunit ribosomal RNA
Source: RNAcentral
CCUACGGGAGGCAGCAGUAGGGGAUAUUGCACAAUGGGGGAAACCCUGAUGCAGCGACGCCGCGUGGGGGAAGGAGGGUUUCGGCGCGUAAACCCCUAUCGGCAGGGAAGAAGAUGACGGUACCUGACCAAUAAGCACCGGCUAACUCCGUGCCAGCAGCCGCGGUAAUACGGAGGGUGCAAGCGUUACCCGGAUUUACUGGGUGUAAAGAGGGCGCAGACGGGAAUGCAAGUCAGGUGUGAAAGCCCAUGGCACAACCCUAGGACUGCAUUUGGAACUGCUAGUCUGGAGUAUGGGAGGGGUAGGUGGAAUUCCUGGUGUAGGGGUAAAAUCCGUAGAGAUUAAGAGGAACACUCGUUGCGAAGGCGGCCUGCUAGAACGUGACUGACGUUGAGGCCCGAAGGCGUGGGGAGCAAACAGGAUUAGAUACCCUUGUAGUC